UACGUAGGGAGCAAGCGUUGUCCGGAAUCAUUGGGCGUAAAGCGCGCGUAGGCGGCCCUGUAAGUCCGUUGUGAAAGUCAAAGGCUCAACCUUUGAAAGCCGAUGGAUACUGCAGGGCUAGAGUCCGGAAGAGGCGAGUGGAAUUCCUGGUGUAGCGGUGGAAUGCGUUGAUAUCAGGAGGAACACCCAUGGCGAAGGCAGCAUACUGGCCGGCAUCUGACGCUGAGGCGCGAAAGCGUGGGUAGCAAACAGG
Molecule: ribosomal RNA, 253 nt
Filed under: uncultured bacterium
Lineage: Bacteria
Description: partial 16S ribosomal RNA
Rfam family: Bacterial small subunit ribosomal RNA
Source: RNAcentral